AGCGGCGGAUGGGUGAGUAACACGUGGGGAACCUGCCCCUAAGUCUGGGAUACCAUUUGGAAACAGGUGCUAAUACCGGAUAAUAAAGCAGAUCGCAUGAUCAGCUUUUGAAAGGCGGCGUAAGCUGUCGCUAAGGGAUGGCCCCGCGGGGCGUGAGCUAGUUGGUAAGGUAACGGCUUACCAAGGCGACGAUGCAUAGCCGAGUUGAGAGACUGAUCGGCCACAUUGGGACUGAGACACGGCCCAAACUCCUACGGGAGGCAGCAGUAGGGAAUCUUCCACAAUGGACGCAAGUCUGAUGGAGCAACGCCGCGUGAGUGAAGAAGGUUUUCGGAUCGUAAAGCUCUGUUGUUGGUGAAGAAGGAUAGAGGUAAUAACUGGCCUUUAUUUGACGGUAAUCAACCAGAAAGUCACGGCUAACUACGUGCCAGCAGCCGCGGUAAUACGUAGGUGGCAAGCGUUGUCCGGAUUUAUUGGGCGUAAAGCGAGCGCAGGCGGAAAAAUAAGUCUAAUGUGAAAGCCCUCGGCUUAACCGAGGAACUGCAUCGGAAACUGUUUUUCUUGAGUGCAGAAGAGGAGAGUGGAACUCCAUGUGUAGCGGUGGAAUGCGUAGAUAUAUGGAAGAACACCAGUGGCGAAAGGCGGCUCUCUGGUCUGCAACUGACGCUGAGGCUCGAAAGCAUGGGUAGCGAACAGGAUUAGAUACCCUGGUAGUCCAUGCCGUAACGAUGAGUGCUAAGUGU
This 743-nucleotide ribosomal RNA is filed under the name uncultured bacterium. Its description in RNAcentral is "bacterial SSU rRNA". It matches the Rfam family "Bacterial small subunit ribosomal RNA", at positions 94 to 823 of the family's 1533-position model. The record is from RNAcentral.